UACGUAGGGGGCAAGCGUUGUCCGGAAUCAUUGGGCGUAAAGCGCGUGUAGGCGGCCAGGUAAGUCCGUUGUGAAAACUGGAGGCUCAACCUCCAGACGUCGAUGGAAACCGCUUGGCUAGAGUCCGGAAGAGGAGAGUGGAAUUCCUGGUGUAGCGGUGAAAUGCGCAGAUAUCAGGAAGAACACCGAUGGCGAAGGCAGCUCUCUGGGACGGUACUGACGCUGAGACGCGAAAGCGUGGGGAGCGAACAGG
This 253-nucleotide ribosomal RNA is filed under the name uncultured bacterium. Its description in RNAcentral is "partial 16S ribosomal RNA". It matches the Rfam family "Bacterial small subunit ribosomal RNA", at positions 524 to 776 of the family's 1533-position model. The record is from RNAcentral.